CUCACAAAGACUAUUCUGAUUAAAAUUUUAUUGAAUAAAAUAUAAUGUAUCUCCUGAAAUCAUGAGCGGUCAAUUUCAUCUUGACUCAUACACCAACAUCGCAGGUACUUGACUGUGCCCCAAAAUCUUUCAUCACUGAAUUAUAAUUUCAGAUAGUUUAGCACCAAAGCACAGUGAGUUGCUUGCAAAACAACAUGAUAAUC
RNAcentral lists this long non-coding RNA (203 nucleotides) under Elaeis guineensis (African oil palm). RNAcentral describes it as "long non-coding RNA (EGUI_LNC066724)". The record is from RNAcentral. Lineage: Eukaryota; Viridiplantae; Streptophyta; Magnoliopsida; Arecales; Arecaceae.